AAGAUUGAUGGUUUAACUGGAAGAACACCUGGAUCAUCUCUGGAAGUGUGAGUUCGAAUCUCGCUCAGUCUUU
RNAcentral lists this transfer RNA (73 nucleotides) under Kordia antarctica. RNAcentral's name for it is "tRNA-Met". It matches the Rfam family "tRNA". From Rfam's summary of the family: Transfer RNA (tRNA) molecules are approximately 80 nucleotides in length. Their secondary structure includes four short double-helical elements and three loops (D, anti-codon, and T loops). The record is from RNAcentral. Lineage: Bacteria; Pseudomonadati; Bacteroidota; Flavobacteriia; Flavobacteriales; Flavobacteriaceae.